Long non-coding RNA from Chinchilla lanigera (long-tailed chinchilla), 524 nucleotides. RefSeq lists it as uncharacterized. NCBI's taxonomy places the organism in Eukaryota, Metazoa, Chordata, Mammalia, Rodentia, Chinchillidae. The transcript is spliced from 3 exons. The record is from RefSeq and is a predicted model, not a curated record.
GUCCUGGAGUUGGCUACACAAUGAUUUCCUGCAGGGAAAUCGGCGUUUCCUAUUUUCUACUUUUCUCUGCAACGGUCUCCAGGUCCUAGGUCAGUGAGUGGUGAACCAGGCCAGGAGAGAGCUGGGCUGCUAGAAAUGUCACCUUCAAAGGAGGCUAGAAGGCCACCGUGCUUCUUCUUUCCCUUGCAAGGAUCUUCUCAGGUGUGAAAACAAGAUUCACUGCUGGUGUCUUGACUUUGGAUUCCUGUUACCUGGAAGAGUGGUUUACUGACUAAAUAAGGUGCACAGAGUGCAGGAGUGGGCCGGUGUGCCCCUCGAGGUAAUCAACCCCAGAGAUGGAGAUCAGCUGCGAGGGAGUGGUACCCACUUGAAAGGGCAGAUUUCUGGAAGGAAGAUGACAUCAAAGACAAGAACAGUCUGAUGGACAUUACGAGGCAUUAAAAUAGACCACAGUGUAUUCUGCCCUUGUAAAUAAUGGAAAUGAGCAUUACUUUCCAAAACUGAGAUUAAAAGUCAACAUGAAU